This 1372-nucleotide ribosomal RNA is filed under the name uncultured bacterium. Its description in RNAcentral is "bacterial SSU rRNA". It matches the Rfam family "Bacterial small subunit ribosomal RNA", at positions 28 to 1381 of the family's 1533-position model. The record is from RNAcentral.
GAUGAACGCUGGCGGCGUGCCUAAUACAUGCAAGUCGAGCGAACGGACGAGAAGCUUGCUUCUCUGAUGUUAGCGGCGGACGGGUGAGUAACACGUGGAUAACCUACCUAUAAGACUGGGAUAACUUCGGGAAACCGGAGCUAAUACCGGAUAAUAUUUUGAACCGCAUGGUUCAAAAGUGAAAGACGGUCUUGCUGUCACUUAUAGAUGGAUCCGCGCUGCAUUAGCUAGUUGGUAAGGUAACGGCUUACCAAGGCAACGAUGCAUAGCCGACCUGAGAGGGCGAUCGGCCACACUGGAACUGAGACACGGUCCAGACUCCUACGGGAGGCAGCAGUAGGGAAUCCUCCGCAAUGGGCGAAAGCCUGACGGAGCAACGCCGCGUGAGUGAUGAAGGUCUUCGGAUCGUAAAACUCUGUUAUUAGGGAAGAACAUAUGUGUAAGUAACUGUGCACAUCUUGACGGUACCUAAUCAGAAAGCCACGGCUAACUACGUGCCAGCAGCCGCGGUAAUACGUAGGUGGCAAGCGUUAUCCGGAAUUAUUGGGCGUAAAGCGCGCGUAGGCGGUUUUUUAAGUCUGAUGUGAAAGCCCACGGCUCAACCGUGGAGGGUCAUUGGAAACUGGAAAACUUGAGUGCAGAAGAGGAAAGUGGAAUUCCAUGUGUAGCGGUGAAAUGCGCAGAGAUAUGGAGGAACACCAGUGGCGAAGGCGACUUUCUGGUCUGUAACCGACGCUGAUGUGCGAAAGCGUGGGGAUCAAACAGGAUUAGAUACCCUGGUAGUCCACGCCGUAAACGAUGAGUGCUAAGUGUUAGGGGGUUUCCGCCCCUUAGUGCUGCAGCUAACGCAUUAAGCACUCCGCCUGGGGAGUACGACCGCAAGGUUGAAACUCAAAGGAAUUGACGGGGACCCGCACAAGCGGUGGAGCAUGUGGUUUAAUUCGAAGCAACGCGAAGAACCUUACCAAAUCUUGACAUCCUUUGACAACUCUAGAGAUAGAGCCUUCCCCUUCGGGGGACAAAGUGACAGGUGGUGCAUGGUUGUCGUCAGCUCGUGUCGUGAGAUGUUGGGUUAAGUCCCGCAACGAGCGCAACCCUUAAGCUUAGUUGCCAUCAUUAAGUUGGGCACUCUAAGUUGACUGCCGGUGACAAACCGGAGGAAGGUGGGGAUGACGUCAAAUCAUCAUGCCCCUUAUGAUUUGGGCUACACACGUGCUACAAUGGACAAUACAAAGGGCAGCGAAACCGCGAGGUCAAGCAAAUCCCAUAAAGUUGUUCUCAGUUCGGAUUGUAGUCUGCAACUCGACUACAUGAAGCUGGAAUCGCUAGUAAUCGUAGAUCAGCAUGCUACGGUGAAUACGUUCCCGGGUCU